GUCUAGGGCUCUGCUGCACCGAGCAAGCUCAAUCCCAUCGGAACUCGGAAUCUGAGCAGGGUCGGUCCAGGUUAGCGCUUAGAUGAGAGACCACCUAAGAAGACCAGGUGCUGUAGGCA
RNAcentral lists this ribosomal RNA (119 nucleotides) under Pteropus alecto (black flying fox). The record is from RNAcentral. Lineage: Eukaryota; Metazoa; Chordata; Mammalia; Chiroptera; Pteropodidae.